GAUGAAGAACGUAGUGAAAUGCGAUAAGUAAUGUGAAUUGCAGAAUUCAGUGAAUCAUCGAAUCUUUGAACGCACAUUGCGCCCUCUGGUAUUCCGGGGGGCAUGCCUGUUCGAGCGUCAUUAUAACCACUCAAGCUCUCGCUUGGUAUUGGGGUUCGCGGUUUCGCGGCCCCUAAAAUCAGUGGCGGUGCCUGUCGGCUCUACGCGUAGUAAUACUUCUCGCGAUUGAGUUCGAUAGGUCUACUUGCCAGUAACCCCCAAUUUUUACAGGUUGACCUCGGAUCAGGUAGGGAUACCCGCUGAACUUAAGCAUAUCAAAAGCGGAGGA
RNAcentral lists this unclassified non-coding RNA (328 nucleotides) under soil metagenome. RNAcentral's name for it is "partial contains 5.8S ribosomal RNA, internal transcribed spacer 2, and large subunit ribosomal RNA". The stretch from base 1 to 120 matches the Rfam family "5.8S ribosomal RNA", at positions 35 to 154 of the family's 154-position model. The record is from RNAcentral.